GGAUGGAAAAAUGUGAGGAUUUUCAUCAGACUCCGAAGGAAGCAACAAAGCGGACCAAGCACCACCUGCCCAUGUUGGUCACUGAACAAGAUCGGAAUCUGCCAUGAAUGAACAUGCACUAUUAAUUGGGGUUUAAAAAAAAGAAGCCUGUACCUCUUAGCCCUGUUGUUAACGAAAAGACACCGGAAACACGUAAAAAGUUAUCACCGAAAGUUUAAUCAGAUGUGCCCCCGAAAUCCAGGAAGAAUCUACCAAUCGGCACGAGAGGGAAGCCACAAAAUGCCAGCAACGUGUCACCACAAAAACCUAAAGAACGCAGUGAACUAACGCCAGCAAGAACAGAAAGAAAGAAAAAUAAUACCCAAGACAAGACCACCAUGGUUACCACCAGCUACAAGUCGAAAGCAAGGUAAAGGAACCAUUCAUGACGCCAAGAAGACACCAGUCAAGAGAACACCAGAAAAACUUCCGCCGACAAUUCCCCAAAUGUCAGCACGUAAAUAUCCAGCUGUCAAUCCCCCUAAAUCCAAGAAGAAUCUACCAAUCAGCACGAGGGGAAAGCCAGAAAAUGCCAGCAGCGUGUCACCCCAAAAACCUAAAGAAUGCAGUGCACCAAGACCAGGAAAAAGCGAAAGACCAAAGGAAGAAAGCAGAAUAAUCCCCAAAACGA
Gasterosteus aculeatus aculeatus (three-spined stickleback) is the source of this 670-nucleotide long non-coding RNA. The record is from Ensembl. Lineage: Eukaryota; Metazoa; Chordata; Actinopteri; Perciformes; Gasterosteidae.